CAAUGCUCGCAAGAGUGAACUAGCUAACUGAAAUCACAUGAUCCUCUACGUGUGGUGAAUGUAAUAACGUAAGGGAAAAAAAUGAUAUUACCUUACUAUUAGUGUUGUCCAAAACUGGUGCCAGAAGACUCGGUAAGGCCAGAGACGCAAACGUUAGUCGUCCUAAUCAGGCGUAAAGGGUAUGUAGGCUGCUUUAAAAGUUUUAUAAUUAGUAGCUAUGUAUAAAAAUAACUAAUUUUUCUUAAAUUAUUUAAUUAUACAGUAAAUAUAAAAUGAAUUGAAGCUAGAAUCAAAUUGAGGAUAAGUCAAAUAAUACCUAGUGUAGGGUUUGAAUCUGAUGAUAUUAGGUAGAGUACUAACGGUGAAAGCUUUUUAUCUAGAAAUGAUUGACGCUGAGAAACGAAGGUGAGAAUAGGAAAUAGGAUUAGAUACCCAGAUACCUCUCACAGUCAACGAUGAAUGGUGGUUGUUAGUUAGUUUAUAUUUAACUGAUAACGAUGUUAACACGAUAACCAUUCCGCCUUGCGAGUACGGUUGCAAAACUGAAACCAAAAAAAUUAGUCGGUCUCGAAGCAAACGGAGUGAAGCAUGUUAUUUAAUUCGAUAAUCCGC
RNAcentral lists this ribosomal RNA (612 nucleotides) under Leptonia umbraphila. RNAcentral's name for it is "partial small subunit ribosomal RNA". It matches the Rfam family "Bacterial small subunit ribosomal RNA", at positions 369 to 962 of the family's 1533-position model. The record is from RNAcentral. Lineage: Eukaryota; Fungi; Basidiomycota; Agaricomycetes; Agaricales; Entolomataceae.